UCGUUGAAGUGUAGAAGGCAAACAAACCCUGCAAGGCGGAGGUAACAGAUUGCACAAACACAUUGAAACAUUUUCAGCUGUUCACUAACACUGUUACAUUUUCUGGAAUUUUCAAUGGAAUGGGAGAAUACGAGAGGCGAAUACCCAAUAUUUCAAGAAGAAUAAACGAAAAGCGCAGUUUAUUUUGGAUUUUAAAGAGAGAAAACGAAAGAGGUUAACAAGGAGAAAAAGAAAUCAUUUGGACCAUUGGUAAAAUUCAAAUCUAUUGCGUGCAGCAACCAAAUAAUGGAGUGUGUGUUAAAU
Bactrocera dorsalis (oriental fruit fly) is the source of this 303-nucleotide long non-coding RNA. RefSeq lists it as uncharacterized. The record is from RefSeq and is a predicted model, not a curated record. The transcript is spliced from 4 exons. Lineage: Eukaryota; Metazoa; Arthropoda; Insecta; Diptera; Tephritidae.